This 2309-nucleotide long non-coding RNA is filed under the name Mizuhopecten yessoensis (Yesso scallop). Its description in RNAcentral is "uncharacterized LOC110455191". The record is from RNAcentral. Lineage: Eukaryota; Metazoa; Mollusca; Bivalvia; Pectinida; Pectinidae.
CUCACUGGUGCCGCCUUCUGAAACUGGUCCUGUACCAACAGACAUACAGAUAUCAGACAUACGCAACAUCUAACAUAACAUACAGUGAAUCUUUUACCUACAGUGUACAAUACAGAAAUACACAGCUCUGCUUAGUAUUCAAUGCUGUUUUAUUUCAAUCAUUAUCUUAUCUCUCAUACAUUUUUUAUUUCAGAGGUCAAACGGUCCUCAAGGCAAAAGUCCAUUAGAGUAAAAAUAUUGUGAUACAAACUGCUCAACAUUUAAGAAAAAAAGUGUAACAUUUUCAUUAACAAGGGCCUGAAGGCACUCAUCUGUUGCCUUUCUUUUCAAAAACAUCCUAGCGCUACAUUUUAGCAAUUUACUGCCUUAUAUCAUGGCUUAAAGUAUUUAGUUAUUCAAAAGAAACUUUUUUAGUAUUUUAACAAAUUAGAUUUCAGUGACGUUGAAUGUGGAUCUACAUCAUUUAUGCUUGCAAACUUCGUAGCACUUCCUGCCAGCAAGCUACUCCACAUAUAUUAUGCAUCUAAGUCUUUAAGUUCUUUUGUUUCAUGUUACCUUGAAUGUGGUUCAAGGUCAAUUAUUUUCACAAAUCUGCCCAUUAAAAUGGGAGUUAGGUUUGAAAUACUUAUCAAACAAGCAGCUGUGGUAGCCAUACUGGAUUGACCCACAAAAUAACAAUACAUGUACUGGAGUCUGUUCUUAGUACCACGUACAAAAUGGUUUACACAUAACAGCUGAUACUGGCAGACACAAAUAAAUUACAAUAGGUCACUUUAGUCUUUGGCUCAUGAUCAGGUGACCUAAAUAUGGUAAUACUGAUACAAUUUUGUUAGCCCAAAGUUCUUUAAAACUUAAGUCACACAAAGUCUAGACUAUAUAUAUAACAUAUAUAAGAUUAUAAAGAAAACAUUUGUCCAUUGGCCUAUCUACUGGUCAUAAAGAUAUACAGCAUGCUUUCGAAAUGUAGCUACCAGAACUCUAUAACAGAUUGAAUUGAACAAAAGUUAAUUACUCAUGACACUUUGAAUUGUGCUGUCACAUCUCCAAUACUUUUAUAUACUUUAACAAAAAUCUAUAGAAUCAUUCAAAACUGCAUAUUUAUUAUUAAUGACUACAUCACUACAGUAAUUUAUUUUCUGUUGAAGGUCAUAACACACCAAUAAUAUUAACACUACAGUAAUUUAUUUUCUGUUGAAGGUCAUAGCACACCAAUAAAAUUAACACUAAAGUAAUCAACACCUAAAUCCUGGGCACCUGAACGUUCCCCUUCCUGGCUGGGUUAUCUGUCCCUGCUGCCUUGACUUACCACAUGCUGAUCACUGGAGGUGUGUAGUGACACACAAGGCCAAGGUCACACAAAUACUGUCUCCUAGUGACACCAUCAGUCGUUGCUAUGGCGACAGGGAUCUGUCGUUUACGGAAGCUGUUGGCCAUUAAAUGAGAGGUAACAUACAAAUUGCACCUACUAACUUAGCACACCUGUGUGUGUAUCUGUAGGUAAGGUUAUCACACAUGGUAACAAUUUCUUCAGCAGAAAUAAAAUUUAAGUUAAGCAGAUAAUUGUAAUUUUGGUUUCAGAAAAUACCAGUCAAAUGUCCCUUACCUGUUAUGUCAUUAAUAAUCCAAUGUGUUUAACUCACCAGGAAAACCUUGACUACAGAAAUAGUAGGUGCAAUCUAAGCAUGCUUCCAGUCCACAGACAUGUAUGAUAGAAGCAGAUAUGGAUUGUUUUUCACAUAUCGACAAGAACCUCUAUACAGUUUAAGAUUUGCCAACAUGCCGCUUCAAAAUGGACAAUAGGUAUAAUGGGCCAAUGUUUCAAAAGUACAUUAUAAUGAAUUGUUUGAUUUUAUCUACAUCACUGCUGACCACAUCAAGGACAUUGCCGAUUCUUGAUGAGGCUGGGAUAAAUCUCUCCGAGAAUAAGUCUUUCACUGGUUAGACUCUUUCCACCAGAAGUAGCGUCAACAUAAGAUUUUGAAGUCCUAUAAUCUUUUCUAUAUGUAAUACCCUCAUGAGUAUCAGGUACACGAGGUCAGGACAUAAAUUUUCAAUUUACUGCUGCUUCAAUUAUUUACAAUACUGUAAUAGCACAGGCAGACAACAUAUGUUUCUGAAAAGGGUUUUAGUAACUUUUUUCUCUCUUGUUUUUAUGAAUCCUUGAAGCUGUGUCACUGUAAAAUGUAAACUUGUUAAAAAGGCAGAAAACUGAAACUUUCUGUCUUCACUCAGUAACAGGGAACAUAUCAAUAGGUCACAUAUAUCUACACUCAGUAACAGGGAACAUAUCAAUAGGCUACAUAUAUCUA